RNAcentral lists this long non-coding RNA (463 nucleotides) under Homo sapiens (human). RNAcentral describes it as "HSALNT0389990". Lineage: Eukaryota; Metazoa; Chordata; Mammalia; Primates; Hominidae. The record is from RNAcentral.
AUGAAACUAGCGCACAGCACGGCUGCCCCCAUGUCGAAAUACAGACUAUGGAGGAUUCACCACCAGACUGGGAAGCAACAGCAACAGCCUGGGCUCGAGAGUCGGACACUGCACUCACCAGACUAUGGCGGAUUCACCACCAGACUAGGAAACAACAGCCUGGGCUCCAGAGUCGGCCACUCGUCCGUGCACAGACGAGGAGAGGUCUCAUGAAGCUUCGGCACAAUCUAGGACCCUAGCUCUUUUGUAAUGAGUUGUUUGGCAUGAGCUCCAGGCACGAGGGCCCUUCAUGACCAGGCUCAAGGAACAUAAAAAGGUCAACUUGUUUUUGCGAUUGUCUGUUGUUUUUCAAUAACUAACAUAUAGGAAUAGAUUGAAAUAGAGAUUUAUCUGAAACAGCGCUGGAUGAAUGCCUCAAGGGGCUCACACAACCUGUUCCGGGACUUGGUGACCAUUGUUUGUG